Lolium rigidum is the source of this 2493-nucleotide long non-coding RNA. RefSeq lists it as uncharacterized. The transcript is spliced from 4 exons. NCBI's taxonomy places the organism in Eukaryota, Viridiplantae, Streptophyta, Magnoliopsida, Poales, Poaceae. The record is from RefSeq and is a predicted model, not a curated record.
AGAAGCGGGCGACUUCACCGACCUCGUCCGCGUGCUGCUGCAGCCGCCGGCCACAGCGCCGAGCUGCUCCCUCCCCGACCUGCUGCUGCUGCCGGUGAGGUCCAACUCCUCUCCCUCCUACUCGUCUUCUUGCCAAAGUUUCCUUCUUUUUGCUGUUGAAUUGAAUCUGUAGGCUGUGGAUGCACCGAUGCAAAUCGUUUUCACUAGUUAAAAUCUGGUGUGUGAAUAGGCAGGCAGUACACGGGCAGAAAAUGGAGUUGCUGCUUUUUUUUUUAAUCGUUUGCUGCUCAUUAUCCGUAGACUCUAGUACCAUAUGGAUUGUACCAAAUGGAGUUGUGCUCGUAGGCAACACUGGAUUUUGUAUGGUCUCUGAUUCGGACCAUAUGCGAUUUUCUCUGCUUAUGCGUAGAUGGUUACAUAGUGACAGUGAUUUUUUUUGGUUGUUUGCUGAUUAUUAUGCAUAGGCCAAUGCUGAAUCUUGCUCUCAUAUCAGGUUCAGAACCCAUGAAUUUUCUUCUUAUGCGUAGACUGUUUGUGCAGAUUUGCUUGACUGCUUGCAUUUGCUAAGUAGUCGAAAUUGCUGUUGGGUGUUCUCUGUGAUGGUGAAAACAUAUGUAAAGUCCGAUGGUCAGAUCCGUUCUAUUACACCAUGUAGACAACCGAGACGUUUGUGUGGAGAGAACGAUGCAUAGUCUUGACCCACGCUAUUUUUCUUAUCUCCUUGUUCGUUUAGUUGUAUUGUUGUGAUAUUGAGGAAAACAAUCGUAUAUACUUUGUCUUGAAGAAAGAUUCGUUUAAUAAUGUGGUUGUUUGGUACUCGUCAUGUACAUACUGUUGACUGCAGUCUCAGGCCACAACUUCUUUGUUUUUGCUUGUUACCAAUCUAGCAAUCUGUUCUGAUCUGAUCAUCACAUGAUGAAUCAAAUAAUAGCACUUAAUUUUUUGCUUAUGUUUCCAACAAGGAGAUGUUCGAUAGAGGUGACCGAGGAGAGCAGCCAGUAAGCAACGGGCAUGGUGGUGGAGGCCAUGUGGCAGAAGGGAAACUGGAAGAGAAUAUCACAAAGGCAAUCACUCAGCAAUGAUGUCUUUUCGGUGUUAUGUUGGUGGCUUCAAGUGGUCCCAUUGUCGUGUGGCGGUGGCGUGAUCAUUACACCACAACUAUGGCGAUGACGGUGGUGUUCUGCUUCAGCUACAACACUAAUUUGGUGGAGCUGGCUAGGCGGUAGCCAUGGCCACCAGAUCUAUCUGGUUGGCAGCGGUGUCCUUCGUCUUCGACUUGGUGGGUUUAGGAUAUCCAGGAGGUGGGGCUAGAUGGCAGCAAAGUACCUUCAGCCUGAUGCAUCAUCUGGAUGUAAAGCCUAAAGAGCCAAUGGAGGAAGGAGCCAUCGUAUACAUGCCUUGCUCUUUGCAGCAGCGUUCUUUAUCCUCCGGAAGUGGCCUUCUUCUCCGCCUCCAGGUCAAGUUUCCGGUUUGUAUCCUUUCUCAUUUGUGUGCUCUGUGAUAGCCCAGGCGUGGAGCUGUAGCUGUAAUGUGCUCCAGCCGUCGAGCAGAUGAAGUGUUGGUUUAGAUUUUGGUGGUGUUGGGAUGGUUUCUAGGAUUUGUUCAUGGCAUGAUCUUGCGGCUAUUAAUCUGGUUACUGACUGCUGUUUUGGUUCUAUAGUACAGGCUCUGGAGCAGAAUUGCCCAUGCUACAUAAUUGCCUAAGUUCACUUUGUUUAUUAUUGUACUUUAGUCUUUGGAUGGUCAUGAUAAGAAUUUCAAACUGGUCUUCUUUCUUGUGUUGAUAAAUCUGGAAUAGAUACAAUCAAAGGUUCAUCUAUUUGUAUUUUACAUGUUCAUGCUAGGUCCAAAUUUUUCCAUGUUAUAGCCGCAAAUUUAUUUGUGAUUCUUGGCAGGGUAGGUAUAUAUAGUUGAUUCUUAGCUCGAAAAUGAUUUGAUCUGCUAUGGUGUUGUGUUCCAGCUAGUCUUCAUUGAACUGCUAGAGUGCUUCCAGGCUUGCAAUAUUUGAUCUGCUAUCCUAUUGUGUUCCAAAUUCGUGGAUAUCUGAUUGGUGCUUUGGAGAAUGGGAUGCUUGUGAGGAUUUAAGCGGCAAGAACUGGACAUGAACUCCCUUACUCCCUUCAUUUAGGAAGGAUAUCCAAUAGGAGGGCUAGAUGACAGCAAGGAACCUGCAGCUUGAUGAUCAAGGGAGGAAGGAGCUGUCUUUAUGCACGCCUUGCUCUGUGCAGCAGCUUUAUUUAUUUACUCUGGUUGUAAUUAAUGGAACGCAGCUGAGAUUUCAGAUUUGGAAGAAUCUCCUAGUAUUGCAUCAUGUCGGUGAUGUAUGUAACCGUGAGCUAGGAUGGGAUUACGUUAACUUGUGCUUUAGUGCAUAAGCUAUGAUUUGAUGCUGAUUGUUGGGCAGUUUUCCAGUUGAUUAAAGCUGCGGUCGAGUUUGUAUGUCACAUGGGCUACUUAUAUUGUCUUGAAUCGAAGUACUAUAUUUGCUUUGCA